RNAcentral lists this small RNA (1289 nucleotides) under Cryptococcus neoformans H99. Its description in RNAcentral is "Cryptococcus neoformans var. grubii H99 hypothetical RNA". Lineage: Eukaryota; Fungi; Basidiomycota; Tremellomycetes; Tremellales; Cryptococcaceae. The record is from RNAcentral.
CACUCCAUUACUUUUUGACUUCAAAUAUUGGCAAUUUCGAUCGAGCUGUCGAGGUCGAGGUUGAAAAACCACAUUCCACAUCUCCUCAAAGAUUCGAAUAUCGAUAACAUAUUCAUCUCAACUCCCCAAAUCUUCCUUGGACUGGGCCGAUUGGCUGGGGAACAAAUUCUACAUCUACAAGCAAAAAUAAAUGGAGCUAUUACACUAGUUCUCAUCCCAUUUCCUCUGUUACAUAUAAACUGAAUGCGAGUGGAAUGGUUAUGUACAUACAAAAAGAAGCUGAUGAAUCUUCGUUUCCAAACCGCUAAUAUCCCAGAAAGUAGUCUUUAUGCAGGCGCCUAUGCUUUUGUCCAUCCCCAACAUAAUGUUCGUGUUCUUUCCCUUUCCGGGCUCUGGGCUUACCGCCUAGCCAAUUCACUCGCCGUCAUGUCCAGUGUAAAACUCGUCCUAAAACUCUUCGUGGGUACGAUAAUCUUUUGCCCUUUUCCUUUUCCCUUUGACCCUCUGGCGGCCAUACCGAGACUCAUGCCCGAGUGCGGUGUGUCGGCGAUACGCGCGAAGAGCGCGCGGGAGAGGGGUUGGGAUUUGGGGAGACCAGAAGGUCGGUGCGGGUGCGGUGGGGCAGGGCUGAUCUCAGAGGAUGUGGGAUGGGAGGAGGGGAUGGAAGGGGUAAGAGGGGUGAGGGGAGUAAGACCUCUUGGGCGGAUAGCUCGUUGUGGUGGGACCGGCGCGAGCGUAUGAGAGUGGGGAUGGGAUUGCGAGUAGGAGAGGGAAGAACGUCCGGGAUCAGAGGCAAAACGUGAAAGCGUCGGACGAGGACGGAGGGAAGGCGAAGCAGAAUUAAGGAGUGGUGAACUGUGAAUACCUUGUUCAUCACCGUCACCAUCUUCUUCUUCCGCUUUUCCGUCUUCGGCACCGUCACCCAACACUCGCUUCCCCUUCCGCUCUGGCGAUCUUUCAGCAUCACAUUCAUCCGUGGGCGAAGACCCUAAACUCCAACUAUCACAAGAUGAAGAUCCGCUCUCCCUUCUUUCUCUACUUUUAGAGCGAGAGGCAAAAUCCGGGAGUUCGGGGAAUUGGGAAAAGGAAAAGUCAUCGUCCUGCCUCGAGGUAUGGCCAAGGGGGGAGGAUGGGCCGGAGAGUCGAGGUGGAGAUGGAACGAGAUUGAAUGACAUUUUGGUUAUUAAACGAGUAUUGUACGAGUGAGUGGUUUACCACCGUAAGAGAUGGACGGGUGGUGGAUGGGUGGUGGACGUAUGGAUGGCUAGUCACCAAAAAGCGGGGAUAGU